This 77-nucleotide transfer RNA is filed under the name Chloroflexota bacterium. RNAcentral's name for it is "Chloroflexi bacterium (sediment metagenome) tRNA-Pro". It matches the Rfam family "tRNA". From Rfam's summary of the family: Transfer RNA (tRNA) molecules are approximately 80 nucleotides in length. Their secondary structure includes four short double-helical elements and three loops (D, anti-codon, and T loops). Further hydrogen bonds mediate the characteristic L-shaped molecular structure. tRNAs have two regions of fundamental functional importance: the anti-codon, which is responsible for specific mRNA codon recognition, and the 3' end, to which the tRNAs corresponding amino acid is attached (by aminoacyl-tRNA synthetases). tRNAs cope with the degeneracy of the genetic code in two manners: having more than one tRNA (with a specific anti-codon) for a particular amino acid; and 'wobble' base-pairing, i.e. permitting non-standard base-pairing at the 3rd anti-codon position. Lineage: Bacteria; Bacillati; Chloroflexota. The record is from RNAcentral.
CGGGGUGUAGCGCAGUUCGGUAGCGCACCGCGUUUGGGACGCGGGGGUCGGCGGUUCGAGUCCGCCCGCCCCGACUA